Molecule: ribosomal RNA, 253 nt
Filed under: uncultured bacterium
Lineage: Bacteria
Description: partial 16S ribosomal RNA
Rfam family: Bacterial small subunit ribosomal RNA
Source: RNAcentral
UACGGGGGGGGCAAGCGUUGUUCGGAAUUACUGGGCGUAAAGGGCCCGUAGGCGGCCAACUCAGUCGGAUGUGAAAUCCCCAGGCUCAACUUGGGAACUGCAUCCGAUACUGGAUGGCUUGAAUCCGGGAGAGGGAUGCAGAAUUCCAGGUGUAGCGGUGAAAUGCGUAGAUAUCUGGAGGAACACCGGUGGCGAAGGCGGCAUCCUGGACCGGCAUUGACGCUGAACGGCGAAAGCUAGGGGAGCAAACGGG